GCUCCUGUGGUGUAGUCCGGCCAAUCAUUCAGCCCUUUCAAGGCUGAGACCCGGGUUCGAAUCCCGGCGGGAGCG
Molecule: transfer RNA, 75 nt
Filed under: Candidatus Woesearchaeota archaeon
Lineage: Archaea; Nanobdellati; Candidatus Woesearchaeota
Description: tRNA-Glu
Rfam family: tRNA
About the family: Transfer RNA (tRNA) molecules are approximately 80 nucleotides in length.
Source: RNAcentral